RNAcentral lists this non-coding RNA (86 nucleotides) under Pontibacillus marinus. RNAcentral's name for it is "c-di-GMP sequence". It matches the Rfam family "c-di-GMP-I riboswitch aptamer". Rfam says of the family: GEMM was predicted in a large-scale screen for bacterial structured RNA regulatory elements. The record is from RNAcentral. RNAcentral also lists the same sequence under 1 other name. Lineage: Bacteria; Bacillati; Bacillota; Bacilli; Caryophanales; Bacillaceae.
UAAUGAAAAGGGCAAACUUGUCGAAAGGCAAGGACGCAAAGCCACGGGUCUAAAGUAUCGUUUUACUAAGACAGCCGGUUGCCGUA